CAGCGCUCAGGCCCCGACCCUCUCAGCCGCCGCUAAAGGAAGAUGCUUCUCCCGGCGGGACUGAGGAGACGGCCGGAGGACUGGGCGCCGGCCGCAGCGCUUCCAGGAUUCCCGGGACCUGUUUCUCAGGUUUAAGGCGGACUGGACUAAGUUCUCUCGAACGACGCAUGCCCUUUCCUGUGUGCUGCUUAAUACGGCUUCCUGAGCGAAUAUUAAUGUCUCUGCUAGCAGAGACAUUACUUUGCCAACAAAAGUUCGUCGACUCGAAGCUAUGGUUUUUCCAGUAGUCAUGUAUGGAUGUGAGAGUUGGACUGUGAAGAAAACUGAGCGCGGAAGAAUCGAUGCUUUUGAAGUGUGGUGUUGGAGAAGACUCUUGAGAGUCCCUUGGACUGCAAGGAGAUCAACCAGUCCAUCCUAAAGGAGAUCAGUCCUGGGUGUUCAUUGGAAGGACUGAAGCUGAAACUCCAAUAUUUUGGCCACCUGAUGCAAAGAACUGACUCAUUUGAAAAGACCCUGAUGCUGGGAAAGAUCGAAGGUGGGAGGAGAAGGGGACUACCGAGGAUGAGAUGGUUGGAUGGCAUCACCAGCUCAAUGGACAUGAGUUUGAGCAAGCUCCGGGAGUUGGUGAUGGACAGGGAGGCCUGGCGUGCUGCAGUCCAUGGGGUCGCAAAGAGUCGGACACGACUGAGCGACGGUAAUGAACUGAGCGACGGGGACUGGAAUGCAAAGUAGGAAGUCAAGAAACACCUGGAGUAACAGGCAAAUUUGGCCUUGGCGUACGGAAUGAAGCAGGGCAAAGGCUAACAGAGUUUUGUGAAGACAACGCAUUGGUCAUAGCAAACACCUUCUUCCAACAACACAAGAGAAGACUCUACACGUGGACAUCACCAGAUGAUCAAUACUGAAAUAAGACUGGUUAUAUUCUUUGCAGCCAAAGAUGGAGAAGCUCUAAACAGUCAGCAAAAACAAGACCAGGAACUGACUGUGGCUCAGAUCAUGAACUCCUUAUUGCCAAAUUCAGACUUAAAUUGAAGAAAGUAGGGAAAACCACUAGAUCAUUCAGGUAUGACCUAAAUUAAAUACCUUACAAUUAUACAGUGGGAGUGAGAAAUAGAUUUAAGGGACUAGAUCUAAUAGAGUGCCUGAUGAACUAUGGACAGAGAUUCAUGACAUUGUACAGGAGACAGAGAGCAAGACCAUCCCCAAGAAAAGGAAAUGCAAAAAAGCAAAAUGGCUAUCUGAGGAGGCCUUACAAAUAGCUGUGAAAAGAAGAGACGUGAAAGGCAAAGGAGAAAACGAAACAUAUACCCAUGUGAAUGCAGAGUUCCAAAGAAUAGCAAGGACAGAUAAGAAAGCCUUCCUCAGUGAUCAGUGCAAAGAAAUAGAGGAAAACAAUAGAAUCGGAAAAACUAGAGAUCUCUUCAAGAAAAUGAGAAAUACCAAGGGAAUAUUUCAUGCAAAGAUGGACUCAAUAAAGGACAGAAAUAUUGUGGACCUAACAGAAGCAGAAGAUAUUAAGAAAAGGUGGCAAGACUACACAGACUACUAUACAAAAAAGAUCUUCACGACCCAUAUAGCUCACUUAGAGCUAGACAUCCUGGAAUGCAAAGUCAAGUGGGCCUUAGGAAGCACUACUACAAACAAAGCUAGUGGAGAUGAUGGAAUUCCAGUUGAGCUAUUUCAAAUCCUAGAAGGUGAGGCUGUGAAAGUGCUGCACUCAAUAUGUCAGCAAAUUUGGAAAACUCAGCAGUGGCCGCAGGACUGGAAAAGGUCAGUUUUCAUUCCAAUCCCUAAGAAAGGCAAUGCCAAAGAGUGCUCAAACUACUGCACAAUUGCACUCAUCUCACACGCUAGUAAAGUAAUGCUCAAAAUUCUCCAAGCCAGGCUUCAACAGUAUGUGAACCAUGAACUUCCAGAUGUUCAAGCUGGUUUUAGAAAAGGCAGAGGAACCAGAGAUCAAAUUGCCAACAUCCACUGGAUUAUUGAAAAAGCAAGAGAGUUCCAGAAAAACAUCUAUUUCUGCUUUAUUGACUAUGCCAAAACCUUUGACUGUGUGGAUCACAGUAAACUGGAAAAUUCUGAAAGAGGUGGGAAUACCAGACCACCUGACCUGCCUCUUGAGAAAUCUGUAUGCAGGUCAGGAAGCAAUAGUUAGAACUGAACAUGGAAAAACAGACUGGUUCCAAAUAAGGAAAGGAGUACGUCAAGACUGUAUAUUGUCACCCUGCUUAUUUAACUUAUAUACAGAGUACAUCAUGAGAAACACGGGGCUGGAUGAAGUACAAGUUGGAAUCAAGCUUGCCAGGAGAAAUGUCAAUAACCUCAGAUAUGCAGGUGAUACCAUCCUUAUGGCAGAAAGUGAAGAAAAACUAAAGAGCCUCUUGAUGAAAGUGAAAGAGGAGAGUGAAAAAGUUGGUUUAAAGCUCAACAUUCAGAAAACUAAGAUCAUGGCAUCCAGUCCCAUCACUUCACAGCAAAUAGUUGGGGAAGCAGUGGCUGACUUUAUUUUGGGAGGCUCCAAAAUCACUGCAGAUGGUGACUGCAGCCAUGAAAUUAAAAGACCCUUGCUCCCUGGAAGAAAAGCUAUGACCAACCUAGACAGCAUAUUAAAAAGCAGAGACAUUACUUUGCCAACAAAGGUCUGUCUAGUCAAGGCUAUGGUUUUUCCAGUAGUCAUGUAUGGAUGUGAGAGUCGGUCUAUGAAGAAAGCUGAGUGCCGAAGAAUUGAUGCUUUUGAACUGUGUUGUUGGAGAAGACUCUCGAGGGUCCCUUGGACUGCAACCAGUCCAUCCUAAAGGAAAUCAGUCCUGAAUAUUCACUGGAAGGACUGGUGUUGAAGCUGAAACUCUAAUACUUUGGCCACCUGAUGAGAAGUGACUCAUUUGAAAAGACCCUGAUGCUGGGAAAGAUUGUAGGCGGGAAGAGAAGGGAAUGACAGAGGAUGAGAUGGUUGGAUGGCAUCAUCAACUCAAUGGACACAAGUUUGAGUAAACUUCGGAAGUUAGUGAUGAACAGGGAGGCCUGGCAUGUUGCAGUCCAUGUGGUCGCAAAGAGUCCGACAUGACUGAGCAACUGAAAUCAACUGAAUGCAUAUAAAUGGAAUCUAGAAAAGUGGUACUGAAGAAUUUAUUCACAGGGCAACAGUGGAAAAACAGACAUAAAGAAUAGACUUGUAGACAUGGGGAGAGGGGAGAAGAGGGUAAGAUGUAUGGAAAGAGUACCAUGGAAACUGACAUUACCAUAUGUAAAAUAAAUAGCCAAUGGGAA
Dama dama (fallow deer) is the source of this 3267-nucleotide long non-coding RNA. RefSeq lists it as uncharacterized. The record is from RefSeq and is a predicted model, not a curated record. The transcript has 2 exons. NCBI's taxonomy places the organism in Eukaryota, Metazoa, Chordata, Mammalia, Artiodactyla, Cervidae.